UUUUUUUACUUUUUUUUUUUUCUAAAAGAAAACUGAAUGUUUAGAAGGCCACAAUUUCAUCUUCUUUCUGGAAUCUAACACCAAGACCAUAACAAUCAAAUUCUCUCUGACACGUGGGAGAAAACAACUGAUUGUUAAUUGUGUUUAAAAUAAAAGGAUUAAAUUAGGUAGAACUAAGGACCUGCUAUCAUAGCUUUAGCCGAAACAUAAAAAAAAAAGAAGAAGAAGACUUUUUCGCCAUAGACAGUGAUAACAAAUUACUUCAUUCAACUAUGUAUUCAAAACAGAAUACACCAUACAUUGCUCUGAUACCAUUGUUAUUUAAUAACGGGACGAGAACAUCGAGUUGUGUACCUUAUUGACGCAGCGAAAAUCGUUAAACUCACCACAAAAAGAAUUGCCCCAAAUCAACCUUUGAAUCACUAGGAAACAACGUUAAUCUUUCACCACUUAGAUGCCCUAAGUUGUGUGUAUUUUUCUUGUAGAAAGGAUUAGUCAGAGAGAAAAUUCCAACGCUUGAAAGUUCUGUGUUUUCUCCUUAACAUAAAUAGGCAGAGUAAUAGCGGUUAAGGAAAAUAACCCACCGCUCCCUUUUUGCAUGUUCACUUUACUGAAAAUUUGUAAUUUAGUGAUAACUUCCUUUAACCUCUCAUAUUUAUCUCUCCUAACCGGGUCGGAUCAGCCCGCAUGGAGCUGCCCACGACCUAUAAUCCAACACUAUCAUACAUACUAAACUAACAUAAAUGUACCCAAGUACUCAAGUGAUGUUGAACAAUGCAAAUGACACUGUUGCUUAUGGUUAAUCCUAUGAUACUUUUAUACAAUAAAGCAAAUGCUAUAACAAAGUGAAGACUAUUAGAGUAGAUCAAAUUCCUAAACAUGAUUAACACAUCUAUUAUUUUAGAACUAACAACUUUUUGUUAAGUUUUAUAUUAUAGUGCAAAUAUAUAUUUUGAAUAAUAUUUAUUUUAUUUUGAAAUUUUAUUUUUAUUAAUAUGAGGGACACACAUAAUGUGAGUAUAUUAAAACUAGUACCAUAUAAGAUAUAUAUUCUUCGUAUAGCUUGAUACACCAGAAAAGCAUUGGAAGCAUCAUGAAAGUUUCCUAAUUGCUAGAGGAAAAAUGAGGAAGAAAUUUGUUGAUAUUUCAAUUGGCCCUAGAAUACAGAUUAUGGAGCCAAAAAACAAAUCAUACAAAGUAAAAACAAUCUCUAAUUCUAUAUUAAGUGAGAGUAUUUUUAGGAGAAAAUUAUGCAUUUAAGAUAGUUUUAGUUGUAAUGACUAUUCCUAAUUUUUACGUUUUAAAAUGAGAUAUUUAAGGGAUAUUAAAGUGGUAUAUAAUCUAAUUAGGAAGUUAAAAAAUUGUAAUAAAUUGUAUAUAGUGCAAUUUUUUAAAAGUGGUUGUAUUUCUUAUAAAUACUCUUUAAGUCUCUGUGUUCAAGGUAAAAUUCUCUUUUAAAAAUUAUUUUAGAAAGUAAUCACUUCUUAUUUAUUUUAUAAAUAACAGAUUUUAUUAUAUACUUAGCAUAUUGUAAAGAUUAUGGGUAUAAUUAAUUAGUCAACAUGAGGCACAAAUCAUGGGAUUUCUUUUAUUUGCACACUCUCUUUCCUCUCAUCUUUUAUCCUAAAUUUUAUCUCAUAAUUCAUCUAAUCUACAUGUUUUUUUAAAAAACAAAAUUCUAUUUUCACUUGACACCAUACUUUCCGAUCAAAUCUUUGGAUUAAGCAUACAAUACUUCUUCGAUCUAAAAUGGGUUUCAACUAGCAGAAACCUCCUCUCCGCCAACUACUUCGAAAUAUCUCUUACCAACUUCAAAUUUUUAAUUUAAUACCAAUUUAACUAUACUUGAUAUAUUUCAAUUAAUAUUAUUGUUAUUAAUAAGAUUAUACAAUAUCAUUAUAUAAGAUUUAUAUUGUAUAGGAUCCACAUAUAUACAGUAUAUUUUUUCUACUAAAUAUAUUCUAUAUUCUUUAGAAUAUACAGGNNNNNNNNNNNNNNNNNNNNNNNNNAUAGUUNUUACUNACUANANAUNUAUAUAUAUAUAUAUAUAUAUAUAUAUAUAUAUAUAUAUAUAUAUUCUCUUACAUUUUUUUUAAACAAAUAGGAUGAUAUUAGUAUUUCAAUAUGCAAUUGUUAACUACAAAAUAUGUCGACGUAUAUGGGAUAUCACAUAUAUUAGUAUAUAAGAUAUAGACUAAAAAAUAAGAUAUAUGUAUCGUAUCAAAUUAUCCAUUCAAAAAUAAGAUAUAUGUAAAACAUAUUUGGAAGAUAAUAUUUUGAGCCAAGAAAUAGGAAAGAAAAGAUUGGAGUUGUUAUACAUGAUUUUCUCCUUGAAUUUAGGAAUCUAUUAUGGUGCUGUUAAUAUUAGUUGCCAUGAUAAAUUCCUAAGGCCAAAUACAUACGCACAGCUAACUUUGCACCAAUUUUCACACACCUCAAUUAAAACUUGUUCCUAUUGAACACUUAACCCAUCAAAAGUGGACCAAUUGCACAUAAAUAUAACAAUCCGAAACCAACACUAGUGACUGAAUCUCACACUCUUUUGAAGGGUCAGACUACACUAAUAAAAAAGUUACAUGUCAGCAACAAAAAGGAGAGAAACAGAAUAAAAAAACUGACCAAAAAAAUAAGAAAGAGAAAGGAGAUGCUCGCCGGGAAAUGGUCACUGGCAGAAAGGAGCUAUGUCUGCUACCUUUAUUUGAAUUGUUUUUUUUUUCUGUUUUGAUUUUAAUCAAAGAUAAGGAAGAAAAUAUCGUAUUUUAAAAAGAGAAGGCAUUGCCGAAUCUGAAGGAGCGUGUUAGCAUCAGCCGGAAGAAGAAGAAGGUGGUGGUUUAUGGUGGUCGUCGGCCGAAUCGGAAAAAGACUCCGUUAUAGGGCUAGUACGCCGAGCAGCUUCGAAUUCUGGUGUGCCGGUGCACAAAGCAAGCACACAAGGACUGCAUAAGUAUUUCACUAUUUCUAAAUGUUCAGUCUAUCGUUUCUCACUUCUUACCAAAAUUACUCAAGUAGGUAUUUAUGAAUUUUAUUAAAAUCAACUGGGUUCUUGUUAACCAGGCAAAUGUUCAUUUAUUUGAGGUAGAAUUAAAUGCCACUUUUGCUCGUAAAGUAUAAAGAAUGGCAGUUAAAACUAGUUUUUUAUUUUCCUAUAUUUUCACCUCUAAUUCUUAACCUUUUCAAUCCAAGAAGACUCACAUGGUAGUACUUUUUGGCUUAUUUUCCUCCGUUAUUUCCUUUUUUAUUAUUGAAAUGCUUUUGAAUAUUUUGAUCUUUUACUAGCAAUAAGUUUACUGCUUUCCUAUUGCUUCAGUAAUGCUUUGGUCUUUUACUAGUAAUAAGUUUGCUGUUUUUCUGUUGCUUCAGUAACGCUUACGUUUAACCUCCAGUUGCUUCAGUGAACUUCAAUUGUUAUAUGCACCUUUACAUAUUUUUACAUUUGUAUUGGCUUGAAGUUACUUAAUUGAUGUUGGGAAGGAAAAAGGAGAAGAAGGGUGAUGGCACCGGUGGGGAGAGAAAAGAAUGAGUUUUUAAAAGGGAAAUAAAAAGAUGAAAACUAAUUCACGCGCUCAACAAAGGUAAGAAAUACUUCUUUUGCCAUCUAGCAUAUGGUGUUCAAUUGGUCCACUCUGAAGUGUUCGAACAAGUUUUAGUUGAGGUGUCUAAGUAAAAAUUGGUGCCAAGUUUAAGAAGCUGCACAUGUAUUUGGCCAAUUCCUAACAACCGAGAAUGAUAUUAACUUACUGCCAUUUUUGUUAAUUAUGGUCUACUGCUAUGAUUGUAUUAAUUUUUUUAAAUAGUGCCUACUUAUGAUUUUCCACUGGACGUAGAAAUUUUAUAGAACACCCACUUUAUACAAUAGUAUUUAACUUGUUGUCACAAUUUACAAAAUAUUUUGCAACCGUAGCCGCUUUGCUUUAACAAAAAUUUAAUAAGACAUUUUACCCUUAAAACCUAUCCAGGAAGAAGAAAACCAUAUAGACAUCCAUUACCAAAAGAGAUAGAGGGUGUUUGGCUAAGCUUAUAAGCUGGUCAAACUGGCUUAUAAACACCUUUUGACUUAUCUACGCGUUAGGUAAACACUAAAAGUGUUUAUAAGCCAAGUGCUUAUAAGCUAAAAUCAACCAUAAGUCAUAAGCUGGUCACCCCCAACUUAUGGCUUUUCAGCUUAUAAGAAUUUUUAAUUUGACCAACAUUUUUACUAGUUUAUCCUUAAUAAUAUUUUCUAAUUCACAAAAUGCUUUUCCCAAAAUAAAUUUCUUGACUUUCUCUUUAUUCCAUAUUCGUUAUUAAUUCUUUUCUUUACAAAAAAAAUAAAAAUUAUAAUCUUCUGAAAAACAUUCAAGGGUAUUUAGUCAUUUUAACAAAAGAAUAGCUUAUCAGCACUUUUUAAUCAAACACAUCAACUGCUUAUUAUCAGUUUCAACACUUCUAUCCAAACACGUAAAUGCUUAAUUUAAAAAUCAGUUUCAGCACUUAAAAAAACUUUUUAGCACUAUAAGCUGAUCAGCUAUUUACAAUCAGCUAAUUCAAACGGGCUCAUAAUCACGAAAUACAAAAUUUUCAUUCACAUACUUCGGUAUCUAUAAAUUCGCUAGAUAUCAAACUAUGCUAUCUUUGUGGUAAAAGAAAUCCGCGAUAAAGAAUUGCGAGAAUAUUUUUUUUUUCUUUCACGAUAACUUGUUGAAGAAACUUUUAAAUUUAGGAGUGUUUAAUUUAGGGGAUAUUGCUUUAAUAGGAGAAUUUUCUGAUUUCUCGUUGUUGCUUCUAAGACUUGGGAAUAAUCAAUUUUAUGGGUUGAUUUUAGAGAGCUAUAGCACGAAAUGGUUACAUUAGAAGAACUGGAUCUUAGUAGCCAUGGAUUUUGGCAAAUCGAUAUCAGUUUUUUGCGUAUUUGCAUUUCAAGCCCAACUUCAGAUAAUUUUCAAGCUUAACUUCAUAUCCAAAUGUCUGAAGUUGAAAACUUCGAAUCCUAAUUAACUUCAAAUCCAAAUGUUUGAAGUUGAAAACUUUGAAUCCUAAUUAAAUUCAGAUCCCAAAUGCUUAAAGUUGGAAAUUUCCAAAUGUCUGAAAUCGGGAAUUUCCAAGCCCAACUUUAUGCAUAAAUUCUGAAGUUGGCGUAGCAGUGCAAAAUAGCUUUAUUUCUAAUACAACUUGUACAAUAGUUUCAUUCCUUAAUCUUCAUUUUCUUAGGGGUCGUUUGGUAGGUGCAUAAGAAUAGUACUGAAUAGAGUGUAUUAGUAAUAUGAAAAUUAGCAAUAUUGAGAUUAAUUAUGCUGAUAUUAGUUAUGCUAAAAUUAUUUCUUAUUGACGGUUUGAUUUGGUGUAUUAAAGAUUUUGAAAGGAUAGUUCUAUCUUUAUACAUACUUAUCCAUGCAAUAAAAAAAUAUGGUAUUGCUAAUAUCAUGAUUUGUUAGGUAUAAGAAUAGUACUGAAUAGAGUGUAUAACUAAUACAAGUAUUAAAGUUGUAAAACACUACCAAACAAGAGAUUAAUAAUAUCAAAAUUAAUACAUGUAUUAUUUUUCUUAAUGCAUCCUACCAAACGACCCACUGGUGUUAUCUACUAGGACUAAUUGAUCAAGAAAUAAAACUCAUCAUUGAGAAUUAUAUUGGAUAUCUCAAAGUUCUGAUGUAUUAUUUCCGAAGUUGUAUCUUUUUUUUCUUGCUUUUUUAUUUCAUGGUUGAAGAAUGGUGAAUAUUGAUGGUGAUUUUUAUAUGGUGACAAAGUGGUAUAUUAGUAAUGAUAUGAUGGUGGAGGUGUGGUGUAGAAGCUGCAAUUAUCGUUAAAUAGAUUUCACGAGCCCUAGGGGUAUUUUGUCCCAAUGCUAGUUACUCAGUGCAAACUGGAUAUAGGUUAAAUAAUUUUUAAAAGCUAAAUAUAGGUUAAACUGUACUGAUAAUCUCGGGUAUUUGUGCAAUUCCUACCCAUUUUGGACUUAUUUCAAGAAAAUUAUAGCAAACUUUCUGCCUAGCAAUCAAUAGAUAUCGUAUUUUGACCAUACUGCACUUCCAAAUUAGAAAAACAUUAUUUAGGACAUCUUUUGAUUAACUUAUUGGGGGUAGCGGUCAUUUGCGUAAUAUUUUUUGAAAUCUUGCAAAAAUUAAUUUUUAAGAUCUUUUUAGUAUGAAAAUUUGAUGCCUAUAUAACGAGUAUGGGACAAUGGUUUGACAGAAACCAAGAAACUACACUUUGUGGACUUCUAUUUGACCACUAUUUAUAUUUUAACCCGAUUAUGAAAAUUUUAGCUUUUUAAGCUUGAGAUUUUUUUACUCCUAUACACUAUUUAAAAUUUUAUUACGAAAAAUGUCCAUGUAUUGAUAUUUAUCCGACCUAAACACAUUCUAAUUACAAAAUAUAUAUAAUCUACCUUAAAAGGCUUUCAAUCCAUUAUUUGUGCCUUCAAUCAAAGGAUGUAGUUACACUCUUUUCCUUUUUUCUCUCCUCUCUCCCCUCUUCUCUCCAGAUUCUCUCUUUCUCCCCAUAUCUCGAGUAAACGGAGUGCUUUGAAUAAUAACAAAUUUUUCAACUAAAUCUGCUACUCUAACAGACUUUGCUCAAAAUCCUCUUUCUUACUCUUCUUUUUUAUCUUAUUUAUAUACUCUUUAAAGUGUCAAUAGAUGAGCUAACCUCAUAUACUAGUAAUUGUAAUCACUGAAUUGAAUGAUAAUGAAUUGAGAAUUCUUUCCAACUACCCUACCCUUCACUAAGAACAAAUCUAUUGCAGAAAGUUCGAAUACUAUUUUAAGAUUACCCGCUUUACCCUUAAAUCUUAUCCUUUAAUUAAUAAAUAUGAAUAUUAUGAAUUGUUAUUCCAACCGGCAACUACCAUGCCCUUAAUUCUACAAAGGAAUAAAAUCUACUAGAGAAUGCUCAAGGAAAAUUCAAAGUUACCGUAACACCAUGUUCUCUUAUAAUUAAAUUCUUUCAUUUCCUUUGCUAUCUGUUCGUAUGGAUGGGAUAGUAGUGGUCGAUAUGUUAAUUUCAAUGUCGACAAAAUUAUGAUAAACUCGGAGUCAAGUUACGACGCAUUACUUUUAGCCAUUACAGAGCAUUUAUCAAUUGAUAUACAAUUAUAACUUUCAUACAUUAUUUCUAUCCAGUUAUAUACAACUACAAUAUCAUACCACUUAAAUACAAUUUUUAUACAAAUUUUAUACAAUAUGUCUUUUGUAUAUUUUGUAUCUGAUUUAUACAUAGUAAAAAUAAAUUUCAUACAACUAAUUAUAUAUUAUACAACUUAUCUACAACUUAUCUAUAAUUUUCAUACAUUAUUUCUACUUAGUUAUAUACAACUACAAUAUCAUACAACUUAAAUAUAAUUUUUACACAAUAUUGUUCAACUUUCAUAUAAUAGUUAAAUAAAAAAUUUAUAUAAACAAGAGAAUAUAAUUUUUCUAUAAUUUUACUACAAUUUCGUAAGUAUAAUGUAUGUCAUGUCGUCAUCUUCUUCUUCUUCUUCUUCUUCUUCUUCUUCUUUGAGUUUCAAUCUGAAAUUCAGCCAAAAUUAAGUCUAAUCUUCACCAAAACACCCUCAAAAUUGAUAUAUAAACUCCAAACCAUAUUCCAAUUGUUUGCAACAACACCCAAUCCAAAUAAAUAAUAAUUUUUGAAAACCCAAAUUCGAAUUCAAAAUUUUAAAACUUUUUAAUGGUUGUCAAUGGUAGAAUUGCUGCUAUCUUUUCCUUUACUUUACAUUACUGGAAUUAGGGAUUGAGAGAUAGAGAGAGGUGUAGAGAGAAUUCCCAAUUGUUUGCAACAACACCCAAUUCAAACAAAUAAUAUUUUUUGAAAAUCCAAAUUCAAAUUCAAAGCUUUAAAACUUUUUAAUAGCUGUCAAUGGUGGAAUUACUGCUCUAUUUUCCUUUGCUCUGCAUUACUGGAAUUAGGGAUUGAAAGAUAGAGAGACGUAGAGAGAGAGAGAGAGAGAGAGAGAGAGAGAG
Molecule: long non-coding RNA, 7937 nt
Filed under: Nicotiana tabacum (common tobacco)
Lineage: Eukaryota; Viridiplantae; Streptophyta; Magnoliopsida; Solanales; Solanaceae
Description: long non-coding RNA (NTAB_LNC018342)
Source: RNAcentral